CCAGACUCCUACGGGAGGCAGCAGUGGGGAAUAUUGCGCAAUGGGGGCAACCCUGACGCAGCAACGCCGCGUGAUUGAAGAAGGUCUUCGGGUUGUAAAGAUCUUUAAUCAGGGACGAAAAAUGACGGUACCUGAAGAAUAAGCUCCGGCUAACUCCGUGCCAGCAGCCGCGGUAAUACGGAGGAUGCGAGCGUUAUCCGGAUUUAUUGGGUUUAAAGGGUGCGCAGGCGGUCUGUUAAGUCAGCGGUCAAAGCCCGGGGCUCAACCCCGGUCCGCCGUUGAAACUGGCAGUCUCGAGUUGGAGAGAAGUAUGCGGAAUGCGCGGUGUAGCGGUGAAAUGCAUAGAUAUCGCGCAGAACUCCGAUUGCGAAGGCAGCAUGCCGGCUCCACACUGACGCUGAGGCACGAAAGCGUGGGUAUCGAACAGGAUUAGAUACCCCCGUAA
This 445-nucleotide ribosomal RNA is filed under the name uncultured bacterium. RNAcentral describes it as "bacterial SSU rRNA". It matches the Rfam family "Bacterial small subunit ribosomal RNA", at positions 331 to 793 of the family's 1533-position model. The record is from RNAcentral.